AGAGCCUGAGCGCUGAAAUUCUCAUCCGCCACUCACAGCAUGGCAGCCUCCUUGACCCACACCCAAGUUCCGCUUCCGGGAUGGAAGCCUACGUCAUUUCCCCUCUGGUUGCCCUAGCGACCCUUGGAAGCCAAGAAUAUGAGACAGUCUCUGCUUCCUUCUCGCCCUUCCUCUUCCUUUUCUCCGCUCCGGGGCAGCUGACGGAGCCGCUCCAAGGCUGCUGGCCGCGGCUAGUCGGGUGCAGCAGAAGUCUCAGGUAGCUGAGAAGUUCGUGGAAUUUUCUUCUUUGGGACACUUUUUACAAUUGCUUGUGAUAUAGUGCAGGGUUGGGAUGUACAGACAUUUCUCAAGUGCACUGUGUACCUACACAGCACAUUGCAAUUUGGCUACUGAAGUCAAGAGAAACUGGUUUAGACAACUGGUGAGUGUAACAUAGGAAGCACAUUUCAUUUGAUAAUAGGAACAUAGCUUUUGUGCUAAUAAAACGCUUUGAAAAUUA
Molecule: long non-coding RNA, 499 nt
Organism: Cebus imitator (Panamanian white-faced capuchin)
Lineage: Eukaryota; Metazoa; Chordata; Mammalia; Primates; Cebidae
Exons: 2
Source: RefSeq, a predicted model, not a curated record